RNAcentral lists this ribosomal RNA (1965 nucleotides) under Triticum aestivum (bread wheat). Its description in RNAcentral is "partial small subunit ribosomal RNA". Lineage: Eukaryota; Viridiplantae; Streptophyta; Magnoliopsida; Poales; Poaceae. The record is from RNAcentral.
AUGGAGCCCGGCCGCGAGCCUACCGGCACGAUCGUGUUCGCCUCCGUCGGGGUCACCAGCUUCGGCUUCGACGUCUUCUCCGUCGCCGCCCCGCAGACUCCCGAGAGCGCAUCCGCCGCGGGGCUGGCGGAGCGCCGCCACACGGACGGCGUGUCCGUCAACUUCAACGCCCAGUUCAAGGACGACGGCGGCGAGGAGGUGGCGUUCGUGUCCGAGCGCACCGGCUCGGCGGGCCUGUUCCUGUGCCGCCCCGGGUCCGAGCGCGCCGUGCCGCUGCCGGCCGUGGAGGGGAGCCUGUUCCACGACCGCCCCACCGUGAGGGGCGGCCGGCUGUACUUCGUCUCCGCGCACGAGAAGCCGGAUGGGUGGUUCAGGAGCUGGGCGGCGGUGUACACGACGGACCUUGGCAGCGAGGAGACGGUGCGGGUGACGCCUCGGGGCGUGGCGGACAUGAGCCCCGCAGUGUCCGCGUCCGGCGAGCUCCUCGCCGUCGCCUCGUACGGCGAGAGGCCGUGGGCGUUCGACUUCCACGUGCUCGAGACGGAGGUCGCCGUCUUCCGUGCCGCCGACCCCGCCCGCCGCGUCGUCCUCGCUGCUCGGGGCGGCUGGCCGACCUGGCACGGGGAGGGCACGGUGUUCUUCCACCGCGUCGCCGAUGACGGCUGGUGGAGCGUCUUCCGGGUGGACAUCUCGCCGGAGACCCUCGAGCCCUGCAGCGCCGAGAUGCGCGUGACGCCUCCGGGCGUGCACUGCUUCACCCCUGCCGCAGCGGGCCGUGGCUGCCGUUGGAUUGCAGUGGCGACGCGGCGGAAGGGGCGGGCGCACCGCCACAUCGAGCUGUUCGACCUUGAGACGGAGCAAUUCACCUCGGUUACCUCUCUCCUUAACCCGGAGCUGCACCAUUACAACCCCUUCUUCUCGCCGUCCGGCGAGCGCCUCGGGUACCACCGCUUCCGCGGCGCGGGCGCGCCGGGCGACUCGCUGAUUCCCUACCGGCAGCCGGUGCGCAGCCCGGUGAGCUCCAUCCGCAUGCUCCGCGUGCACGGCUCCUUCCCGUCCUUCUCGCCGGACGCGAAGUACUUCGCCCUCAACGGCGACUUCUUCAAGUCGCCCGGAGUGACCAUCCUCCGCGCCGACGGCUCCAAGCGAUGGGUGCUCGCCAAGCAGCCCAACCUGUUCUACACCUCGUGGAGCCCCACCGAGAGCGGGGUCGUGUUCACCUCCGCUGGCCCGAUCUUUGAGACCCCGAAAGCGACGGUCCGGGUGGCGCGCAUCGAGUUCGACCCGAGCGAGCUCACCGACGACCGCGGCGACGUCUACGUGGCCGUGAAGGAGCUGACCCGUCCGGAGGCCGGCAACGACGCGUUCCCGGCGGUGUCGCCGUGCGGGCGGUGGGUGGUGUUCCGGUCCGGCCGGUCGGGCCACAAGAACCUCUACAUCGUCGACGCGGCGCGCGGGGAGGAGACCAUACGGAGGGUCACCGAGGGCGAGUGGAUCGACACGAUGCCGAGCUGGUCGCCGGACGGGGAGCUGAUCGCGUUCUCCUCCAACCGGCACGAGCCGGCCAACGCCGCCGUGUUCAGCAUCUACCUGGUGCGGGCGGACGGGACAGGGCUGCGGCGGGUGCACGUGGCCGGGCCGCCGGGGAGUGCGGAGGCGGACAAGGAGCGGAUCAACCACGUGUGCUUCAGCCCGGACGGCGAGUGGCUGCUCUUCACGGCGAACCUCGGCGGCGUCGUGGCCGAGCCCAUCUCGGGGCCGAACCAGUUCCAGCCGUACGGCGACCUGUACGUGUGCCGGCUCGACGGGUCCGGUGUGCGCAGGCUCACCUGCAACGCCUACGAGAACGGCACGCCGACGUGGGGCCCGCCGCUGGGCGUGGAGUCGCUGUCGCUGGGCGCCCCCGCCGCGGACGAUUCGCUGGGCGAGUUCGACGAGCCGCUGUGGCUGUCCUGCGACGUGUGA